UAAAGAGCGAAAAGCCAGACAUGUCCGGGGAAAACCGGACGUAUGGUAGCCCUAGACAUCAUCAUUUGUCCUCGCUCCCCCCACAGCUCAACCCCUGGAAACACGUCUGGAGAACAAAGACUGAACUGGGGAGGUGGUGCCAGACUGGAAAGGAGAAUCCCAGCUUGUGUAUUUAGGAACUACACCAUCAGGUUCAUGGCUGCCGUUCUUCCUGCCGACCUCACGGAGGAUGUCACCUGCUUCCCCGGAGGCACCUCAUCUGCGCGAAAGUGACCUGCCAGCUGGGACAGACUUGUGCACUGAAGGAUGCAGUGCGCUGUUCCGUGACCUAGGAUGAGUGCUGCUGCCAGACCUGUAGUUAGCCUGGAAUGCCUCCUCGCAGUUUGACAGUAGAUGUUAGGCUCUCACUUUUCCUUGUGUAUCAGACUUGCUUAUAUUCCCACUACCUGAUGUGCUUUCCUCUGUGACACCCUGCACCUUAUAAACAAGCUUGGAAGGAU
Molecule: long non-coding RNA, 500 nt
Organism: Trachemys scripta elegans
Lineage: Eukaryota; Metazoa; Chordata; Testudines; Emydidae
Exons: 2
Source: RefSeq, a predicted model, not a curated record